Molecule: long non-coding RNA, 210 nt
Filed under: Carica papaya (papaya)
Lineage: Eukaryota; Viridiplantae; Streptophyta; Magnoliopsida; Brassicales; Caricaceae
Description: long non-coding RNA (CPAP_LNC012330)
Source: RNAcentral
UGUUACACUAUGUAUAUAUGUGCAUCUAAUCUAUUUGUAUAAAUAUUCAGAAUUAUGUAUUUCAUUCAUGAAUUAAUGAAAUAUUUUUCCUUCUCUCUCUCUCUCUCUCUCUCUCUCUCUCUCUCUCUCUCUCUCUCUCUCUCUCUCUCUCUCUGCCUAACUGCAACAUGGUACCAGAGCAUAUCACUAUUAAUUUCUUGUUUUUCUUCU